GGCAUAGUUUAGUGGUAGAAUGUAAGCUUCCCAAGCUUAGGAUGCGGGUUCGAUUCCCGUUGCC
This 64-nucleotide transfer RNA is filed under the name human gut metagenome. It matches the Rfam family "tRNA". From Rfam's summary of the family: Transfer RNA (tRNA) molecules are approximately 80 nucleotides in length. Their secondary structure includes four short double-helical elements and three loops (D, anti-codon, and T loops). The record is from RNAcentral.